Molecule: ribosomal RNA, 485 nt
Filed under: uncultured bacterium
Lineage: Bacteria
Description: partial 16S ribosomal RNA
Rfam family: Bacterial small subunit ribosomal RNA
Source: RNAcentral
AUUGAACGCUGGCGGCAUGCCUUACACAUGCCAGUCGAACGGCAGCACGGGUGCUUGCACCUGGUGGCGAGUGGCGAACGGGUGAGUAAUACAUCGGAACAUGUCCUGUAGUGGGGGAUAGCCCGGCGAAAGCCGGAUUAAUACCGCAUACGAUCUACGGAUGAAAGCGGGGGACCUUCGGGCCUCGCGCUAUAGGGUUGGCCGAUGGCUGUUUAGCUAGUUGGUGGGGUAAAGGCCUACCAAGGCGACGAUCAGUAUCUGGUCUGAGAGGACGACCAGCAAAACUGGGACUGAGACACGGCCCAGACUCCUACGGGAGGCAGCAGUGGGGAAUUUUGGACAAUGGGCGAAAGCCUGAUCCAGCAAUGCCGCGUGUGUGAAGAAGGCCUUCGGGUUGUAAAGCACUUUUGUCCGGAAAGAAAUCCUUGGCCCUAAUACGGUCGGGGGAUGACGGUACCGGAAGAAUAAGCACCGGCUAACUACGU